Molecule: long non-coding RNA, 236 nt
Filed under: Gopherus evgoodei (Goodes thornscrub tortoise)
Lineage: Eukaryota; Metazoa; Chordata; Testudines; Testudinidae
Description: lncRNA (ENSGEVG00005010968.1)
Source: RNAcentral
GUUGUCUUUGAAUUAGGUAGCCGUUUGACAUGUACAUUUCAAUUUUGAUUGCAGUUUUUUAAUUGCAUUUAACAGCGUCCCUGCUGGUUCUUCAUUCAGCAUCUGUGCAGCCACGUUCUAUUGAUGGCCUGUUGUGAUUUCAAUGGAACAUCAUGGGAAUGUACCUGGCACGUCAGGCAGCACUGGAUGGAGGUGCCCUUAGUCCUAUGCACCUGGCAUGGUGGUGAAGAGAAGGU